Molecule: ribosomal RNA, 465 nt
Filed under: uncultured Klebsiella sp.
Lineage: Bacteria; Pseudomonadati; Pseudomonadota; Gammaproteobacteria; Enterobacterales; Enterobacteriaceae
Description: bacterial SSU rRNA
Rfam family: Bacterial small subunit ribosomal RNA
Source: RNAcentral
CCUACGGGAGGCAGCAGUGGGGAAUAUUGCACAAUGGGCGCAAGCCUGGUGCAGCCAUGCCGCGUGUGUGAAGAAGGCCUUCGGGUUGUAAAGCACUUUCAGCGGGGAGGAAGGCGUUAAGGUUAAUAACCUUGGCGAUUGACGUUACCCGCAGAAGAAGCACCGGCUAACUCCGUGCCAGCAGCCGCGGUAAUACGGAGGGUGCAAGCGUUAAUCGGAAUUACUGGGCGUAAAGCGCACGCAGGCGGUCUGUCAAGUCGGAUGUGAAAUCCCCGGGCUCAACCUGGGAACUGCAUUCGAAACUGGCAGGCUAGAGUCUUGUAGAGGGGGGUAGAAUUCCAGGUGUAGCGGUGAAAUGCGUAGAGAUCUGGAGGAAUACCGGUGGCGAAGGCGGCCCCCUGGACAAAGACUGACGCCCAGGUGCGAAAGCGUGGGGAGCAAACAGGAUUAGAUACCCCAGUAGUC